RNAcentral lists this long non-coding RNA (933 nucleotides) under Anolis carolinensis (green anole). Its description in RNAcentral is "lncRNA (ENSACAG00000040113.1)". Lineage: Eukaryota; Metazoa; Chordata; Lepidosauria; Squamata; Anolidae. The record is from RNAcentral.
GCAAAGGGUUAAACCCUUAUGCCGGCUGAACUGCUGACCUGAAGGUUGUGUUGGUGACCUGAAAGUUGCUGGUUCGAAUCUGUGAGAUGGGGUGAGCUCUUGUUUGCCAGCUCUAGUUUGUGGGGACAUGAGAGAAGCACACCAGAAUUCGCGUCUGACAUGAUAAAAAAAUCUAUGAACUGCUCUUUAACUUCUUUUAAUUGAAGUUAUUUUAUACAUGCAGACACAAUGGAAAGAAGAAUUUGAUGGCCCUUCCGUAUUGGCCCUAUAUCCCAGGUUCCGAUCCCAGGUUUUCUGUUUAUCCAAGAUUAUCUGGCAGUGAUGACUCAGAAUCCAAUUUAAAGGAGAAAACCUGGGUUCAGAUCCUGGAUAGCCUCUGAAAUCCCCUGCAUGGCCUUUCCAUGCUUUGCAGGGAUAUAACGGGACACACAAUGAUGACAUCACUACUGAGACCUACCAGGGGCCUCUGCUGUAAUAAUUUUGUAAACUGGAGAAGUGAAUCUUAUGGGGAAGGAAUAUCAAUCUCUUCAAAAUGAUAUAUGCACAUGCAAGCGAAACAUAUUUGUGUGUCUCCAACAGGAUAUUUUUUUCGUGUCAGGAGCAGCUUGAGAAACUGCAAGUCGCUUCUGGUGUGAGAGAACUGGCCAUCUGCAAGGACGUUGCCCAGGGGACGCCUGGAUGUUUUGAUGUUUUUACCAUCCUUCUGGAAGGCUUCUCUCAUUUCCCCGCAUGGAGCUGGAGCUGAUAGAGGGAGCUCAUCCACGCUCUCCCCCGGUUGGAUUCGAACCUUUAGAAACCUUCCCCACUCUCCUGCCAGCUCUUAUGACUCACUUCAAGACUGGGCAAGAGGCCUGUGUGGAGCUCUUACCAGUCACAUGGGCUCAGCCAGGCUCACAGGGAGCAUAGUCCAGCCAGCUUGGAGACUUCCAGAUC